UACGGGGGGUGCAAGCGUUAAUCGGAAUUACUGGGCGUAAAGGGCGUGUAGGCGGUAUGAAACGCAUUUCGUGAAAGAACAGGGCUUAACCUUGUAGAGCGAAGUGAACGGGCAUGCUAGAGUAGCUAAGAGGAAGGUGGAAUUUCAAGUGUAACGUUGAAAUGUUUAGAGAUUUGAAGGAACACCAGUGGCGAAGGCGGCCUUCUGGUAGCUUACUGACGCUGAGACGCGAAGGCGCGGGGAGCAAACAGG
RNAcentral lists this ribosomal RNA (252 nucleotides) under uncultured bacterium. Its description in RNAcentral is "partial 16S ribosomal RNA". It matches the Rfam family "Bacterial small subunit ribosomal RNA", at positions 524 to 776 of the family's 1533-position model. The record is from RNAcentral.